This 411-nucleotide ribosomal RNA is filed under the name uncultured microorganism. RNAcentral describes it as "bacterial SSU rRNA". It matches the Rfam family "Bacterial small subunit ribosomal RNA", at positions 9 to 416 of the family's 1533-position model. The record is from RNAcentral.
GAGUUUGAUCGUGGCUCAGAUUGAACGCUGGCGGCAUGCCUUACACAUGCAAGUCGAACGGCAGCAUGAUCUAGCUUGCUAGAUUGAUGGCGAGUGGCGAACGGGUGAGUAAUACAUCGGAACGUGCCCUGUAGUGGGGGAUAACUAGUCGAAAGAUUAGCUAAUACCGCAUACGACCUGAGGGUGAAAGUGGGGGACCGCAAGGCCUCAUGCUAUAGGAGCGGCCGAUGUCUGAUUAGCUAGUUGGUGGGGUAAAGGCCCACCAAGGCGACGAUCAGUAGCUGGUCUGAGAGGACGAUCAGCCACACUGGGACUGAGACACGGCCCAGACUCCUACGGGAGGCAGCAGUGGGGAAUUUUGGACAAUGGGGGCAACCCUGAUCCAGCAAUGCCGCGUGUGUGAAGAAGGCC